RNAcentral lists this unclassified non-coding RNA (491 nucleotides) under Podagrostis thurberiana. Its description in RNAcentral is "contains 3' external transcribed spacer, ETS". Lineage: Eukaryota; Viridiplantae; Streptophyta; Magnoliopsida; Poales; Poaceae. The record is from RNAcentral.
GGUCCCCGUCUUUGUGCGGCCGACUACCGGCGCCGUGUCCCGUCAUUCGUGUGGCUUAUGUUACUGUUGCCUUUAAGUGCUUGCGUGCUGGUACCCGACCUACGGGAAGUGGUGCAUCAUACACGGUUGCCUCGCGGUGGACGCCUUCGGGUGUGCUGCUGCGGCCAAAUGGCUCUUGCGGCGUUGCCUCGUGGUGCUGGCACGUUUUCGUGCCUGGUGCUAUCAGGGCAGCCUCGCUCCCGCUGUURGUUUCGGAUGUCGCUCAUGAUAAAAGCUCAUGGCCCAUUUUGGUUGCCUUGAACUGACCCUAAAUAUGCCUCCCUCGUUGAGGACAACAGUGUUCCUCAAUUCGUAGGUGGAUAUUGGCCCGCUCAAUUGCGACAACUGGCCCGGCGGUUGCCUCUGCCUUUCCACGCAAGUGGACAAGCGAACAACUGUCGGCGCUGGACGUCAAAGAGGACGUGCUACCUGGUUGAUCCUGCCAGUAGUCA